UUUAUUAAAAAAAUAUCAGCUAUUAUUGUCAAGAAAUCAAUUUGUUUGAUUUAAGAUUUAAAAGGUUUUAAUAAAACAAAUCUACACGAAUCCUGACCACCAAAAAAUAACAGCUUUUGAAAGUAAUUAUCUAAAGUCAAACAAGAAAUUUAAGGAUUUUAAAACAUUUAAGCCACAGAAGCUGCUGCCAAAGUGAAACAAAUAUACUAUCCAAUCAUAAGACUACGUCUACUAUCGGAGAUGAAACGUGUAGUGUUUGAGACGAGACGUUAGGUUUCGUUACUCACAAGAAACGGACGUUCGGUUUCGUUACUCACAAGAAACAGACAAGGUGAGGAGAACGUGAGCUCCAAUGUCACUAGGGAUGUUAAUAUGGGUUUUGUUCUGUAGGGUUAGCCCAGCCCGCAUCCAUUUUUUUAACCCGAAGCCCGUUACAUUUUAUGUGGGUUAAAAUAGGACCGUCUAAUAUAACACAUGGGCUAACCCUAAAACCCUUUAUUUUUUUUUAUUUUUUUUAUGAAAACAAAUCACUGAAAGGCGUUGUUUUAAUUUUUUUUUCUCCAGUUCUUCAUCUUUCUUCGACGAUUCCACAUCGAGAGUUCCGCUUCAUGUGAUCUCAUUUCUUCUCCAGUUCUCCAUUGCCUGAUUGUAAUCCGGAGACACGAUUUCGUCUCCAGUUCUCCAGUCAUCGCCCUCAUCUCUCGCGAUCCUCUGUGUUGUGUCCGUCGAGCAAUCUCUUCUUCUCCUUGACAUCGGUGAAAAAAUCGAUAUAGGGUUUGUGGGUUUGUUGAAAUCGAUCUACAGGGUUUGUGGGUCUGUUGAAAUCGAUCUCUAAGAGUGGAGUCACGUAGCCAAGUUCUGAGCUUGGAGGAUACAUGUAAUUGUAAAGUCUUCACGAGACUUGUAGUGAAUUAUAUGAAUAAAAAUAUUUAAACUUUGUUUUUUUUCUUCAUAUUUUGAAUUUGGGGACAAAAAUGAAAAACACUUUUUCUAUUUAUAUAAUAAUAUCUUGAGUUUUUACA
This is a long non-coding RNA of Brassica napus (rape), 1022 nucleotides long. RefSeq lists it as uncharacterized. The transcript is spliced from 2 exons. NCBI's taxonomy places the organism in Eukaryota, Viridiplantae, Streptophyta, Magnoliopsida, Brassicales, Brassicaceae. The record is from RefSeq and is a predicted model, not a curated record.